Molecule: ribosomal RNA, 483 nt
Filed under: uncultured bacterium
Lineage: Bacteria
Description: partial 16S ribosomal RNA
Rfam family: Bacterial small subunit ribosomal RNA
Source: RNAcentral
AUUGAACGCUGGCGGCAGGCCUAACACAUGCAAGUCGAGCGGAUGAAGGGAGCUUGCUCCUGGAUUCAGCGGCGGACGGGUGAGUAAUGCCUAGGAAUCUGCCUGGUAGUGGGGGAUAACGUCCGGAAACGGGCGCUAAUACCGCAUACGUCCUGAGGGAGAAAGUGGGGAUCUUCGGACCUCACGCUAUCAGAUGAGCCUAGGUCGGAUUAGCUAGUUGGUGGGGUAAAGGCCUACCAAGGCGACGAUCCGUAACUGGUCUGAGAGGAUGAUCAGUCACACUGGAACUGAGACGCGGUCCAGACUCCUACGGGAGGCAGCAGUGGGGAAUAUUGGACAAUGGGCGAAAGCCUGAUCCAGCCAUGCCGCGUGUGUGAAGAAGGUCUUCGGAUUGUAAAGCACUUUAAGUUGGGAGGAAGGGCAGUAAGUUAAUACCUUGCUGUUUUGACGUUACCAACAGAAUAAGCACCGGCUAACUUCGUG